GCACUGUUUCGGCAAGGGGGUCAUCCCGACUUACCAACCCGAUGCAAACUGCGAAUACCGGAGAAUGUUAUCACGGGAGACACACGGCGGGUGCUAACGUCCGUCGUGAAGAGGGAAACAACCCAGACCGCCAGCUAAGGUCCCAAAGUCAUGGUUAAGUGGGAAACGAUGUGGGAAGGCCCAGACAGCCAGGAUGUUGGCUUAGAAGCAGCCAUCAUUUAAAGAAAGCGUAAUAGCUCACUGGUCGAGUCGGCCUGCGCGGAAGAUGUAACGGGGCUAAACCAUGCACCGAAGCUGCGGCAGCGACACUAUGUGUUGUUGGGUAGGGGAGCGUUCUGUAAGCCUGUGAAGGUGGCCUGUGAGGGUUGCUGGAGGUAUCAGAAGUGCGAAUGCUGACAUAAGUAACGAUAAAGCGGGUGAAAAGCCCGCUCGCCGGAAGACCAAGGGUUCCUGUCCAACGUUAAUCGGGGCAGGGUGAGUCGACCCCUAAGGCGAGGCCGAAAGGCGUAGUCGAUGGGAAACAGGUUAAUAUUCCUGUACUUGGUGUUACUGCGAAGGGGGGACGGAGAAGGCUAUGUUGGCCGGGCGACGGUUGUCCCGGUUUAAGCGUGUAGGCUGGUUUUCCAGGCAAAUCCGGAAAACCAAGGCUGAGGCGUGAUGACGAGGCACUACGGUGCUGAAGCGACAAAUGCCCUGCUUCCAGGAAAAGCCUCUAAGCAUCAGGUAACAUCAAAUCGUACCCCAAACCGACACAGGUGGUCAGGUAGAGAAUACCAAGGCGCUUGAGAGAACUCGGGUGAAGGAACUAGGCAAAAUGGUGCCGUAACUUCGGGAGAAGGCACGCUGAUAUGUAGGUGAAGCGACUUGCUCGUGGAGCUGAAAUCAGUCGAAGAUACCAGCUGGCUGCAACUGUUUAUUAAAAACACAGCACUGUGCAAACACGAAAGUGGACGUAUACGGUGUGACGCCUGCCCGGUGCCGGAAGGUUAAUUGAUGGGGUUAGCGGUAACGCGAAGCUCUUGAUCGAAGCCCCGGUAAACGGCGGCCGUAACUAUAACGGUCCUAAGGUAGCGAAAUUCCUUGUCGGGUA
Molecule: ribosomal RNA, 1090 nt
Filed under: Escherichia coli
Lineage: Bacteria; Pseudomonadati; Pseudomonadota; Gammaproteobacteria; Enterobacterales; Enterobacteriaceae
Description: partial 23S ribosomal RNA
Rfam family: Bacterial large subunit ribosomal RNA
Source: RNAcentral